RNAcentral lists this ribosomal RNA (301 nucleotides) under uncultured bacterium. RNAcentral describes it as "partial 16S ribosomal RNA". It matches the Rfam family "Bacterial small subunit ribosomal RNA", at positions 509 to 807 of the family's 1533-position model. The record is from RNAcentral.
CAGUCGCCGCGGUAAUACGUAGGGUGCAAGCGUUAAUCGGAAUUACUGGGCGUAAAGCGUGCGCAGGCGGUUUUGUAAGUCUGUCGUGAAAUCCCCGGGCUCAACCUGGGAAUGGCGAUGGAGACUGCAAGGCUAGAAUCUGGCAGAGGGGGGUAGAAUUCCACGUGUAGCAGUGAAAUGCGUAGAUAUGUGGAGGAACACCGAUGGCGAAGGCAGCCCCCUGGGCUAAGAUUGACGCUCAUGCACGAAAGCGUGGGGAGCAAACAGGAUUAGAUACCCCCGUAGUCCCUGUCUCUUAUAC